This 204-nucleotide unclassified non-coding RNA is filed under the name uncultured Russula. RNAcentral describes it as "sequence contains ITS1". Lineage: Eukaryota; Fungi; Basidiomycota; Agaricomycetes; Russulales; Russulaceae. The record is from RNAcentral.
CUGUACAAUGGAGAUGCCCAGGGCUGUCGCUGACCCUUUGUGGGUCGUGCACGCCUGAAGUGCUCUCUCUCACAUCCAUCUCACCUCUUUGUGCAUCACCGCGUGGGCCCCCCUAUUGGGAUCGGUUCACGUUUUUACACAGACACCUUUCUUUUAAUGCAUGUGUAGAAUGUCUUGCUCUUUUGUGAUUACACACAAUCAAUA